This 492-nucleotide ribosomal RNA is filed under the name uncultured bacterium. Its description in RNAcentral is "partial 16S ribosomal RNA". It matches the Rfam family "Bacterial small subunit ribosomal RNA", at positions 29 to 507 of the family's 1533-position model. The record is from RNAcentral.
AGCGAACGCUGGCGGUAGGCCUAACACAUGCAAGUCGAACGGCAGCACAGUAAGAGCUUGCUCUUACGGGUGGCGAGUGGCGGACGGGAGAGGAAUACAUCGGAAUCUACUUUUUCGGGGGGGAUAACGUAGGGAAACUUACGCUAAUACCGCAGACGACCUACGGGUGAAAGCAGGGGAUCUUCGGACCUUGCGCGAUUGAAUGAGCCGAUGUCGGAGUAGCUAGUGGGCGGGGUAAAGGCCAACGAAGGCGACGAUCGGUAGCUGGACUGAGAGGAUGGUCGGCCACACUGGAACUGGGACACGGUCCAGACUCCUACGGGAGGCAGCAGUGGGCAAUAUUGGACAAUGGGCGCAAGCCUGAUCCAGCCAUACCGCGUCGGUGAAGAAGGCCUUCGGGUUGUAAAGCCCUUUUGUUGGGAAAGAAAAGCAGCAGGUUAAUACCCCGCUGUUCUGACGGUACCCAAAGAAUAAGCACCGGCUAACUUCGUG